This 406-nucleotide ribosomal RNA is filed under the name uncultured bacterium. RNAcentral's name for it is "partial 16S ribosomal RNA". It matches the Rfam family "Bacterial small subunit ribosomal RNA", at positions 30 to 526 of the family's 1533-position model. The record is from RNAcentral.
AUUGAACGCUGGCGGCAGGCCUAACACAUGCAAGUCGAGCGAGCGGCGGACGGGCGAGCAAUUUCUGGGCAACUGCCUGAUGGACGGGGAUAACUACUGUAAACGGUAGCUAAUACCGCAUAACAUCCGAUGUGCCCUGAUGGGAUUAGCUAGCGGGUGGGGUAAUGGCUCACCAAGGCGACGAUCCCUAGCUGGUCUGAGAGGGUGAACAGCCACACUGGAACUGAGACACGGUCCAGACUCCUACGGGAGGCAGCAGUGGGGAAUAUUGCACAAUGGGCGCAAGCCUGAUGCAGCCAUGCCGCGUGUGUGAAGAAGGCCUUCGGGUUGUAAAGCACUUUCAGCGGGGAAGCGUUACUCGCAGAAGAAGCACCGGCUAACUCCGUGCCAGCAGCCGCGGUAAUUC